Culex pipiens (northern house mosquito) is the source of this 74-nucleotide transfer RNA. It matches the Rfam family "tRNA". From Rfam's summary of the family: Transfer RNA (tRNA) molecules are approximately 80 nucleotides in length. Their secondary structure includes four short double-helical elements and three loops (D, anti-codon, and T loops). The record is from Rfam. NCBI's taxonomy places the organism in Eukaryota, Metazoa, Arthropoda, Insecta, Diptera, Culicidae.
GCCCGUGUGGAUCAAUCGUACCGCGCACUGGACUCACAAUCCAGAGGUCGCAGGUUCGAAUCCCGCGGCGGGCG